This 1143-nucleotide ribosomal RNA is filed under the name Vibrio crassostreae. RNAcentral describes it as "bacterial SSU rRNA". It matches the Rfam family "Bacterial small subunit ribosomal RNA", at positions 1 to 1121 of the family's 1533-position model. The record is from RNAcentral. Lineage: Bacteria; Pseudomonadati; Pseudomonadota; Gammaproteobacteria; Vibrionales; Vibrionaceae.
UUAAAUUGAAGAGUUUGAUCAUGGCUCAGAUUGAACGCUGGCGGCAGGCCUAACACAUGCAAGUCGAGCGGAAACGACUUAACUGAACCUUCGGGGAACGUUAAGGGCGUCGAGCGGCGGACGGGUGAGUAAUGCCUGGGAAUAUGCCUUAGUGUGGGGGAUAACUAUUGGAAACGAUAGCUAAUACCGCAUAAUGUCUUCGGACCAAAGAGGGGGACCUUCGGGCCUCUCGCGCUAAGAUUAGCCCAGGUGAGAUUAGCUAGUUGGUGAGGUAAUGGCUCACCAAGGCGACGAUCCCUAGCUGGUCUGAGAGGAUGAUCAGCCACACUGGAACUGAGACACGGUCCAGACUCCUACGGGAGGCAGCAGUGGGGAAUAUUGCACAAUGGGCGAAAGCCUGAUGCAGCCAUGCCGCGUGUAUGAAGAAGGCCUUCGGGUUGUAAAGUACUUUCAGUUGUGAGGAAGGGGGUAGCGUUAAUAGCGCUAUCUCUUGACGUUAGCAACAGAAGAAGCACCGGCUAACUCCGUGCCAGCAGCCGCGGUAAUACGGAGGGUGCGAGCGUUAAUCGGAAUUACUGGGCGUAAAGCGCAUGCAGGUGGUUCAUUAAGUCAGAUGUGAAAGCCCGGGGCUCAACCUCGGAACUGCAUUUGAAACUGGUGAACUAGAGUACUGUAGAGGGGGGUAGAAUUUCAGGUGUAGCGGUGAAAUGCGUAGAGAUCUGAAGGAAUACCAGUGGCGAAGGCGGCCCCCUGGACAGAUACUGACACUCAGAUGCGAAAGCGUGGGGAGCAAACAGGAUUAGAUACCCUGGUAGUCCACGCCGUAAACGAUGUCUACUUGGAGGUUGUGGCCUUGAGCCGUGGCUUUCGGAGCUAACGCGUUAAGUAGACCGCCUGGGGAGUACGGUCGCAAGAUUAAAACUCAAAUGAAUUGACGGGGGCCCGCACAAGCGGUGGAGCAUGUGGUUUAAUUCGAUGCAACGCGAAGAACCUUACCUACUCUUGACAUCCAGAGAAUUCGCUAGAGAUAGCUUAGUGCCUUCGGGAACUCUGAGACAGGUGCUGCAUGGCUGUCGUCAGCUCGUGUUGUGAAAUGUUGGGUUAAGUCCCGCAACGAGCGCAACCCUUAUCCUUGUUUGCCAG